AUGGCGAGCGUGGCGGCGUCGAAGAAGGCGGCGAACCGGCUGGUGGUGGAGGAGGCCACCACCAACGAUGACAACUCUGUGUGCACCCUCCACCCCGCCACCAUGGAGAAGCUCUCCAUAUUCAAAGGCGACGUCGUGCUGCUCAAGGGCAAGCGCCGCCACAACACGGUCUGCAUGGCACUGCCCGAUGACACCUGCGAGGGGCACAAGCUCGGGAUCAUUAAUCAACAAGCCCGCUUCAACCUACGCGUGCGCAUCGCCGACGUCGUGUCGGUGCACCUGUGCCAUGACGCCAAGUUCGGCAGACGCGUGCACAUCCCCUUGGACGACACCGUCGAGGGCAUCGCGGGGAACCUCUUCGACGCCUACCUCAAGCCCUACUUUGUGGACGCCUACCGCCCGGUCCACAAGGGUGACCUCUUCCUUGUGCGUGGCGGCAUGCGGAGCGUCGAGUUCAAGGGCAUGGAGAUCGACCCCGCGAUGGACUACUGCGUCGUGGCGCCCGACACGGAGAUAUUCUACGAGGGCGACCCGGUCAAGCGAGAGGACAAGGAGAGGCUCGACGGCGUCGGCUACGGCAAGGUGGGUGGCAUGGGAAAACCGCUCACUCUGCAGGAGCUCGUCGAUCUGCCGCUCAGGCAUCCGCAGAUCUUCAAGAGCAUUGGCGUCAAGCCUCCCAAGGGCAUCCUCCUCUAUGACCCUCCCAGGUCGGGCAAGACGCUGAUCGCCAGCGUGGUCGCCAAUGAGACCGGGGCCUUCUUCUUCCUCAUCAACGGCCCGGAGAUAAUGUCCAAGAUGGACGGAGAGAGUGAGAGCAACCUGAGGAAGGCCUUCGAAGAAGCCGAGAAGAACGCGCCCUCCAUCAUAUUCAUCGACGAGAUCGACUCCAUUGCUCCGAACAGGGAGAAGACUCACGGUGAGGUCGAGAGGCGCAUCGUCUCCCAGCUGCUGACGCUGAUGGAUGGCAUGAAGGCCCACAUGCAUGUCAUCGUCAUGGGAGCCACGAAUCGCCCCAAUAGCAUCGACCCUGCCUUGAGGUGCUUCGGGAGGUUCGAUCGCGAGAUCGACAUCGGCGUGCCGGACGAGGUCGGGCGCCUCGAAGUGCUUCGCAUCCACACCAAAAACAUGAAGCUGGACAAGGACGUCAACCUGGAGGUGGUUGCCAAGGAUACGCACGGCUACGUCGGCGCCGACUUGGCCGCGCUCUACACCGAGGCGGCGCUGGAGUGCAUCAGGGAGAAGAUGGACAUGAUCGACUUAGAGGAUGACACCAUCGACGGCGAGAUCUUGAACUCCAUGGCCGUCACCAAUGACCACCUUAAGACGGGCCUCGUCGGCACAAACCCGUCCGCGCUACGUGAGACCGUCGUGGAGGUGCCCAACGUCAGCUGGAACGAUAUCGGCGGCCUCGAUAGCGUCAAGAGGGAGCUGCAAGAGACCGUUCAGUACCCGGUCGAGCACCCGGAGAAAUUCAAGAAGUUCGGUAUGUCGCCGUCCAAGGGCGUCCUCUUCUACGGGCCACCAGGAUGCGGCAAGACCUUGCUGGCGAAGGUGAUCGCUAACAAGUGCCAGACCAACUUCAUCAGCAUCAAGGUGCCAGAGCUGCUCACCAUGUGGUUUGGUGAGAGCGAGGCCAAUGUGUGCGAGAUCUUCGACAAGGCGCGCCAGUCUGCGCCGUGUGUGCUGUUCUUUGACGAGUUCGACUCCAUCGCAACCCAAAGAGGCGGCAGAGUGGGCGACGCUGGUGGCGCGGCGGAUAGGGUCCUAAACCAGCUGAUGAAGCUAUGUACCUAG
RNAcentral lists this ribosomal RNA (1794 nucleotides) under Triticum aestivum (bread wheat). RNAcentral's name for it is "partial small subunit ribosomal RNA". The record is from RNAcentral. Lineage: Eukaryota; Viridiplantae; Streptophyta; Magnoliopsida; Poales; Poaceae.